UACGUAGGGGGCAAGCGUUAUCCGGAUUUACUGGGUGUAAAGGGAGCGUAGACGGCGGCGCAAGUCUGAUGUGAAAGCCUGGGGCUCAACCCCGGAACUGCAUUGGAAACUGUGCUGCUGGAGUGCCGGAGAGGUAAGCGGAAUUCCUAGUGUAGCGGUGAAAUGCGUAGAUAUUAGGAGGAACACCAGUGGCGAAGGCGGCUUACUGGACGGUAACUGACGUUGAGGCUCGAAAGCGUGGGGAGUAAACAGG
This 253-nucleotide ribosomal RNA is filed under the name uncultured bacterium. RNAcentral's name for it is "partial 16S ribosomal RNA". It matches the Rfam family "Bacterial small subunit ribosomal RNA", at positions 524 to 776 of the family's 1533-position model. The record is from RNAcentral.